GAUGAAGAACGUAGCAAAAUGCGAUAAGUAAUGUGAAUUGCAGAAUUCAGUGAAUCAUCGAAUCUUUGAACGCACAUUGCGCCCGCCAGUAUUCUGGCGGGCAUGCCUGUUCGAGCGUCAUUUCAACCCUCAAGCACAGCUUGGUGUUGGGACUCGCGUUAAUUCGCGUUCCUCAAAUUGAUUGGCGGUCACGUCGAGCUUCCAUAGCGUAGUAGUAAAACCCUCGUUACUGGUAAUCGUCGCGGCCACGCCGUUAAACCCCAACUUCUGAAUGUUGACCUCGGAUCAGGUAGGAAUACCCGCUGAACUUAAGCAUAUCAAUAACGGAGGA
Molecule: unclassified non-coding RNA, 331 nt
Filed under: soil metagenome
Description: partial contains 5.8S ribosomal RNA, internal transcribed spacer 2, and large subunit ribosomal RNA
Rfam family: 5.8S ribosomal RNA (bases 1-120)
Source: RNAcentral